This 893-nucleotide ribosomal RNA is filed under the name uncultured bacterium. Its description in RNAcentral is "bacterial SSU rRNA". It matches the Rfam family "Bacterial small subunit ribosomal RNA", at positions 8 to 916 of the family's 1533-position model. The record is from RNAcentral.
AGAGUUUGAUCCUGGCUCAGGACGAACGCUGGCGGCGUGCUUAACACAUGCAAGUCGAACGAUGAAGCCCUUCGGGGUGGAUUAGUGGCGAACGGGUGAGUAACACGUGGGCAAUCUGCCCUUCACUCUGGGACAAGCCCUGGAAACGGGGUCUAAUACCGGAUAAUACUUUCUCUCUCAUGGGGGAAGGUUAAAAGCUCCGGCGGUGAAGGAUGAGCCCGCGGCCUAUCAGCUAGUUGGUGGGGUAAUGGCCUACCAAGGCGACGACGGGUAGCCGGCCUGAGAGGGCGACCGGCCACACUGGGACUGAGACACGGCCCAGACUCCUACGGGAGGCAGCAGUGGGGAAUAUUGCACAAUGGGCGAAAGCCUGAUGCAGCGACGCCGCGUGAGGGAUGACGGCCUUCGGGUUGUAAACCUCUUUCAGCAGGGAAGAAGCGAAAGUGACGGUACCUGCAGAAGAAGCGCCGGCUAACUACGUGCCAGCAGCCGCGGUAAUACGUAGGGCGCAAGCGUUGUCCGGAAUUAUUGGGCGUAAAGAGCUCGUAGGCGGCUUGUUGCGUCGGUUGUGAAAGCCCGGGGCUUAACCCCGGGUCUGCAGUCGAUACGGGCAGGCUAGAGUGUGGUAGGGGAGAUCGGAAUUCCUGGUGUAGCGGUGAAAUGCGCAGAUAUCAGGAGGAACACCGGUGGCGAAGGCGGAUCUCUGGGCCAUUACUGACGCUGAGGAGCGAAAGCGUGGGGAGCGAACAGGAUUAGAUACCCUGGUAGUCCACGCCGUAAACGUUGGGAACUAGGUGUUGGCGACAUUCCACGUCGUCGGUGCCGCAGCUAACGCAUUAAGUUCCCCGCCUGGGGAGUACGGCCGCAAGGCUAAAACUUAAAGGAAUUGACGG